This 305-nucleotide ribosomal RNA is filed under the name uncultured bacterium. RNAcentral describes it as "bacterial SSU rRNA". It matches the Rfam family "Bacterial small subunit ribosomal RNA", at positions 335 to 656 of the family's 1533-position model. The record is from RNAcentral.
UGCCUACGGGACGCAGCAGUGGGGAAUAUUGCACAAUGGGCGAAAGCCUGAUGCAGCAACGCCGCGUGAAGGAAGAAGGCCUUCGGGUCGUAAACUUCUGUCCUUGGGGAAGAAGAACUGACGGUACCCAAGGAGGAAGCCCCGGCUAACUACGUGCCAGCAGCCGCGGUAAUACGUAGGGGGCAAGCGUUAUCCGGAAUUAUUGGGCGUAAAGGGUGCGUAGACGGGAAAACAAGUUAGUUGUGAAAUCCCUCGGCUUAACUGAGGAACUGCAACUAAAACUAUUUUUCUUGAGUGUUGGAGAG